RNAcentral lists this ribosomal RNA (495 nucleotides) under uncultured bacterium. Its description in RNAcentral is "bacterial SSU rRNA". It matches the Rfam family "Bacterial small subunit ribosomal RNA", at positions 28 to 477 of the family's 1533-position model. The record is from RNAcentral.
GACGAACGCUGGCGGCGUGCCUAAUACAUGCAAGUCGAACGCACUCUCGUUUAGAUUGAAGGAGCUUGCUCCUGAUUGAUAAACAUUUGAGUGAGUGGCGGACGGGUGAGUAACACGUGGGUAACCUGCCCUAAAGUGGGGGAUAACAUUUGGAAACAGAUGCUAAUACCGCAUAAAACCUAACACCGCAUGGUGUAGGGUUGAAAGAUGGUUUCGGCUAUCACUUUAGGAUGGACCCGCGGUGCAUUAGUUAGUUGGUGAGGUAAAGGCUCACCAAGACCGUGAUGCAUAGCCGACCUGAGAGGGUAAUCGGCCACACUGGGACUGAGACACGGCCCAGACUCCUACGGGAGGCAGCAGUAGGGAAUCUUCCACAAUGGACGAAAGUACUGAUGGAGCAACGCCGCGUGAGUGAAGUAAGGUUUCGUAGUACGUAAAACUCUGUUGUUGGAGAAGAAUGUAUCUGAUAGUAACUAGUAUCAGGUAGUGACGGUA